AGAACGAACGCUGGCGGCAUGCCUAACACAUGCAAGUCGAACGAGACCUUCGGGUCUAGUGGCGCACGGGUGCGUAACGCGUGGGAAUCUGCCCUUGGGUUCGGGAUAACAGUUGGAAACGACUGCUAAUACCGAAUGAUAUCUUCGGAUCAAAGAUUUAUCGCCCAGGGAUGAGCCCGCGUAGGAUUAGCUUGUUGGUGAGGUAAAAGCUCACCAAGGCGACGAUCCUUAGCUGGUCUGAGGAGGAUGAUCAGCCACACGUGGGACUGAGACACCGGCCCAG
RNAcentral lists this ribosomal RNA (283 nucleotides) under uncultured soil bacterium. RNAcentral describes it as "partial 16S ribosomal RNA". It matches the Rfam family "Bacterial small subunit ribosomal RNA", at positions 26 to 334 of the family's 1533-position model. The record is from RNAcentral.